AUAAAAAACUAAAUAUUGUUAUUAUUAAAAAUAUUCAUAUAUAUUAAACAUUUUAAAGUAUUUAAAAUUCCACUGAUUACUGAAGAUAGACAUGAACUGACUUUGGUCCCAGCAUUGUAUGUUUCUCACUCACUAAAAAGAACUGGCUCAUAAGAGUAAUUUGUUCAGAAAUCAAACUAGACUGGUUAUGCUGUAUGGUGAUAUUUUACAUUGAUGUGUUCUGUUCGCUUCAGUGGUAGAAUGCAGAUCUUUGUGAACCAUUAAUGAAACCAAACAUUAUCAACACCAACACUACACUAAUGUCUUGAAGAAUGAUGUCUUGAAGAAGUAUACUGUAUCCCUCUAAUACUGCAAUCCUUUUGACAUGCCUAUGCCAAGCUUCAAAUUGGAAAUACAUCAACACAGGACAUCAAACUUUGCACACCAAGCCAUACAAUGGCAUGUUAGCUUCAUUUGCUUUGAGGUCAUGAGAAUGAAUUGACUCAGUUAAGUUCAAACUCUUCCAGAUUGUUCCAGGCCUCAGCCUUUCACCUUCACACACCUAAAGUUUGUCUCUGUGCGUGUGUGUGUGCUGUGUAUUCUUAUAAAGCAGUAGAUCAUGAGACCCAGGACCAGUCUGCAGACUUUGACGGAUUGUAAACCAGCAGGACCUGGCUAGUUUCAGCAUGGCGUACUCGGCGCAGAAGCGUGCGUAGGCAGCACGUUAAUGUGUGCUGAUGGAGGAUGGAGUCUCUCUGUGUCGCAGGACACGCUCGUAUGUCACUACGCGACUGCUCCGUCUGAAGCCUCUCCAGGCCAAGUGAUGUGUUUAUAGUGCAGGGGAACACAUUUAUUGCAUUUACAUGGAUUUAUGCAAGGUGUGACUGUCUUUAUGCUGAUAAGGCGAUCAGCUGAUCAGAGCUCGAGCUCGGGAACUGAGCUGCUCCCACAUUCACAUACAAUGAAACCACAGGCCAUUUUUGCAAAACAGCACAGAGAAAGUGUGUCAAAGGAAGAACCUGUUGGUGUGUCUGGGAACCCAAUCUCGAUGGGUGUGUGUUUGCCUGUGUCCCGCUGUUGGUGCUGCUUACGAGCCUUGCAGCUGUAUCGUGGUGCUGUUCCAGGAAGAGCUGGAUGUGCGUGUGUUUACUGGCAGAGAUGUGUCAAGGCCUGUUUGUGUGUCCAUGUGCUCGGGUGGGUCCAUUCCUUCUCCAUAUGGCCAGUGUGUCAUCUAGGCUGAAUAGCAUUGUGUGUUGGGCAGCAGAAAUGCCAGUGUCUAAUAAUGAGUCCUUCUUGCUCUCAUUUGUAUUCUUUGUUAUUUUAUUUUUGGCCUUUUAAUUCCUUUAUAUGACUGCAUUAUGGACCUGACCAGUGCCUCAGGGCCUCCGGCCUCUGAAAGCCUCAGGGUUAACAGGGUAUGAACACAGCGACUGUUCUGGUUAAAACACUGGCUUUUUUCUUUACUAAGUAAUUAGGACGUUGUCAGAUUCUUUGUUUUAGACAUUUGUGUACCUCUAUAUUUCAAAUUUCAAACUUAUAACAUUUUAUUUUAUGUUUUAUAUUAUAUAAUAUAUGUAUUGCAUAUAUUAUUACAUUUGUAUUAUCUAGUAUAUAAAUGUAUUUUCCUUUUGAAAUAUUACAUAAUAUUGCAUACAUUUUUCUCUUCCUAUUUUUAACCCAAAUAGACCUUCUUGUAUAGGAUAAGGAUAUAGAAUAGAAUAGAAUAGAAUAGAAUAGAAUAGAAUAGAAUAACAUUAUACAAAUGUUUUAAUUUUUACAUUUUUAAUUAAUAAUAUAUUUUUAUAAACUUUUUUCAUUUUUAUAUAUUUUUUCUCAUUCUUUUCUGAAUUCUGAAAAGUAUUUUUUUCUAUAAAAUAAAAUUAACUUAAAAAUAAAAUAAAAUAAAAUG
Molecule: long non-coding RNA, 1888 nt
Organism: Cyprinus carpio (common carp)
Lineage: Eukaryota; Metazoa; Chordata; Actinopteri; Cypriniformes; Cyprinidae
Source: Ensembl